UGAACUGGAGAAGUAGAUUAGCAGAGUUUCUUGCCAAGGCUGGGAAGCUGCUAUUACAGACUGUCCCCGGGGGAAAUGGCUCACAUUAACCACUAAAUGAAUAUUUGACAAGGGCUCAUUCGGGGGUAUUAUUACUACAAACGGGUCCCUACUGGACUUUCUAAGGGUCAAAGAGCAAUGGUUCAAUUAAUUAUUUAGACUGUUAGUAGAUUUGGUUGUAAUAGCUGUACUUAUUUCUACAACCGACAAAUUCUUACAGUAGGAGCCCUCGGGAGACUCUUCCCCAUCAGCAAUGCCUUGCGAUUUAAAUACACAAAUAGGGAAGGUCCGCCAAGUGGGAAAACGGCUGUCUUUUUCCGUGACAUUUCUUGACAGAAAACAUAUUUUUCUUUAAGAUGCCCAUUGCUCUUGUCAGACAACAAGGGCUGCGUAUGAUCAUCACAAUGUAUCGCAUCACAACAUUAAUCUCUCUUUAUGUGUAACAUGCAAGAGACCUGCAUAGUCGUCUUUAGAAUAGGCUGUAGAUAGCUCAGCCAUUUAAACGCUCUAUAUUAUGAAAGAAAGAGGCCCAUGGCGAUAGGUAUGGUUAGAUACACUUCAUUUAUUUCCCUCCUGAUCUAACUCAAAUAUUAAAAUCUAGAGGCAUGCUGAGCAACAGAGGAGAUUUGCAAUGAUGUAUUCAAAAUGCUGCAAUUUAGACUGCAGGAAACCCUAGUCCUGCGAAUGUUUUAAAGCUGACCCAGCCUUGCCUGAAACAUUCGUUCCAACGUUUUUGUUGCUGUGGGCGAUUUUUUUUUUUAAUUUCAUUUGGUUUAAUGUCUGCCACAAACAUGUCCGCAGCAGUAGAUACUAAAAAAUGUUGAAACUGAGAUUAGGUGACAAUAAUAUAUGUUUGAAUGAAUGAGAUAAGCGGCAAGGGGGGAGCGGGAAGCAGUAAUUACAAACCCAAUUCAUUCAGCUUUUCAGGACUUUUGUUGUGGGAGCUCCAUUGACGGGUUUCGAGCUGCCAGUUUUCUCACAUUAAAAAGGACUGAUCAACGCCUCGGGGGGACAUGCAAUACCGCUUAACUGCAUAGUGAUGGGGUCCUCAUUUAGAGCCAUUACAACAAGAAAAUUAAACAGAGCCUUUGUGUGCGCCAGGUUUACUUUUCAAUUGCUGACAGUUUAUAGCUAACUGCUCAGAGAUUGAAGUUUGAUUGCGGUUUGAUCGCCUGCUAGUUAGCACCACAGCUAUUUUAGUUUUGGUAAUUAAAACCAGCUUUUCUGAUGAUGCCCGGGGAAUUUCAAGAGUUGGUCAUAUUUUGCUUUUGAGGAACCAAGUCCACUUGACAAGGAGGUGCAGCACAGAACCUACAGGCUCCAUUGUGGUGGGGACAAACAUAAAAUAAAGAUACGAUCAAAUACUGUGGCCUGACCAAAGAGAAGUUUAUCGUUCCUCUGAGCGAGCUUCCUAAUAUGAAGUUAAAACCCUUUAUAUCUGAACACACUAGAGUCCAAAGGAUAUCCUGAUGUUGAAGAAACCUCUUCAGCUUUACACCCAGUGCCUUAUCGCCAUCAGAGGUGGAAGGGGACAGUUAAAUGAGUGUGUAACAGCUGUAGAGCAACAAUUUGAAUAUUAAUAUUUUAUUUUCUUCAAACAACAACAAAAAAAGAUACUUCAAAACCAGUAAGAAGGAUAAGCUUGGAGCGCCCAGUCACCGUGGUAACUGCCAGAAAAAUUCUCCUGAAGUUUGAAGAGGUCAGCUAACAGGGUCAACAACUCUGGCCUCUUUCUGAGCUGGGCCUGGCAGGCCCCAUCCUGCAGUUGGAGUGGUAGGCCAGGCCUAGCCCUGGGAGGUGGGCCAUUCCAGCUCUGAUAUAAAUUUUUUGAGUCAGUUCACGGCCUGGACUCUCCAGGUGGUCUCCAAAAUCGAUUGUGACCUUCUGACCCUGUCUAACGGAGGCAUAGCAUCCAACCUAAGUAAGGAUUUAGCCAGGAAUGACAGCUUUCCACUGAGUGUUAUUGGGGACAGUACAAACAAUUUUGGAAGCAAGGAGGGCUACAGCAAAAACAACUUAAUGACAUGAGAAGGCCCACUGACUUCAGAGGGACUCCUUGUGGGAACAAGACUGGCAGAAUCUGGCUCAUACUCUGCAAUGAGGACUAGUGCCUUUGCUUGGUUUACAGAAAACAUAUUUAAAAAUGAGAGUUAUGAGCAGUCAAAUGAUUUUUAGCAGAGCUUACUAUAUCCUCAUCUCCUUUGUGGCAUGAUUCUACAUUUUCCCUGUCCCGCCUAACAAGCACAUCGGUCUGCAUGAUGGAGAAUGUAAGUAUUUCCCUGGGACACAGAUCAAAAUUCUCCCAACCCCUGCCCCAGCCUUACCAUCAAGAACAGGCAAAAAUAAUUGGCACAGGAAAUAAAUGAGUGAAUACCAAGAUCUUUGGUUCUCUGCAAUUUUACUUGCAUUUUAGAAUAACCUGAAAAAUUGGACAUUUCCUUAAAACAAAAUCGAGUUGGGGCCUGAUUAUCGUCUGUCUGUUCACGUCAUGCAGUCAUGUGCACCUGAGCAAAGUGGAUAUAAAAUGCACAGAUACAAAUGAAAACACAGGAAGUGGAGAAAAAAGCCCUUUAUCUUUUUCCAUAGUGAAGAUUCAGCCAUCAUGCAUACAAAUAAUAGAUCGUCUCCAACCAAAUAUUAGCAGCAGCAAAGGUGAGAAUUUCUAACCUCCUUCAUGCCAUUUACUUCAAUGCAAUGUGAACUUCAAAACACGAUGAAUCCAUUGCAAUAGUUUAUUAAGUAUAGGCUAUUCCUUUACACUUUAUUUAAUUCAAAAAGCAAGGGAAUUAUAUACACAAACAGGCUUAAUGAAAAGUUAAGGAUAAACAGUCAAAAACACCAAGAGAGACAAGGAGGGGGAGGUAAUAUCUUUUAUUGGACCAACUUCCGUCGAUGAAAGAGACAAGGUUUUGACCUGCAGAAGAGGUCUAUGUAGUUCAAAAGCUUGUCUCUUUCACCAAGAGAAGUGGGUCUAGGAAAAUAUAUUCCUUCACCCACCUUGUGUGUCUACUAUCCAGGGACCAACACAGCUAUAGAAACACUGCAAAAUCACCAGGGGCAGGAUUGUGGCAUUUAACCAUAGCAUUUAGUAUGGGCUGGUAAAGAGCUGCACUGCCCUGGGGGAACCACUAGAGGCAGCAUGUCUCCCAGAGAUGGCUGCGCUCAGGGAAGCAUCAUGGAAGGGGUGCCACAGUUCCUUCUCCGCACUCCCCCUAUAUCUUUGGCGCAUGGCUGGCCAGCUUUGCUGACUGGCAUGUAGGGGGUAGGCAGAGCCAUGGUGCCCCACCUACUCCCUGCCCUUCCCCACCUCAUGUUGGGUUGGCUCUAGCAUGGGUUAUAUCAGGUAGUGGCAGCCUCCACACAGGAGCUACAGUUCAGGCUGGCCCUUCUGCAGGUGCCCCGAAUAGUGGGAGGUUCGGUACUCCUCCCUACCUACUGUGCUACAUUUAAGAGCCUGCUACCAUCUAGCCCAGAGUCAGGAAACACAGAAGUUAAGGUUCCAACAAGCAACAUUAACUUGGCUAUGUUUCACAUUGGAAGUAUUUUCUAUUUCUGGUUGUGGUUAGAUGUGCAAUUUAAUGUUCUGUUUAUGUUGUCAAAGGUAUACCAUGGAGUAGCCAUUAUGUACAACCUAACCCACUGACCCGGCCCUUGAAACUUUAACUUCUGUUUUUCUUGAUGGUUUGUGAUUUAGCUGUGUAUCCUGAUGGUGCAUAACCUAGUUUAUUGCAUAUAAGAUUAUAAAGGAUGUGUUACCCUCUGCAACUAGUUGGAGAGUUUCAGUCAGAGAGGUUUCAGAGUAGCAGCUGUGUUAGUCUGUAUCCGCAAAAAGAAAAGGAGGACUUGUGGCACCUUAGAGACUAACAAAUUUAUUUGAGCAUAAGCAUCCGAUGAAGUGAGUCAGAGAGGGCAUGUCAUAUAAGCUUAGCCCUCAUUUGAAUUAUAGCCAUUAUACACACACUUUCUAAUGCAAAGCUUCGUGUGCUGUUUCACCAUUAUGUUAAAUCCUGAUCAGGAAACAAACUUUAAAAUCCCCGUUAUAAUGUAACACAAGUAAAUUAUGCCUUGGGCAUAUACAAUGGAAGUAUAGAUUAUUUUAGAUAUAUAAAAGUUCUACUUAAGUUGAGGUUAGUGGUUUAAUUACAGGAUUUUUUUUUAAAUUGCUGUUAAUAAAGACAGCCAGUGUUUCCCCCCCUUUGAUUUACCUCCAGAUCAACCAUAUUCAGUACCCCUUUUCUGGCAUUCACAGCAACAUGGGUGGGUUGGCAGGAUCUUAUAGGCAUUUCCAUCUUCCCAGCACUGAUAUUUUUUCCUGGAUUGUAGCACCAACUCCACAGUGUGCCAUUGUUUGGAAUCUUUCAGUGACUCUUCUUCUCCCAACCUGAAACCUGCCCCAGACCCAUAUUUCUUCAUUACAGUUUUUCAAAACAAUUAUAGAAACACUGAUUGCAGUAAGAGGCAGUGUGAGCCAAUGAUUAGAUCAGAUGGUGGAGAGUCAAGAGACAUGGGUGGUGUUCCACAUUCUGCCUCUGAUUUCCUGUUUCACCUUGGGUUUGGCCUUGGGCAAAUUACUUAACUGCUCCGUGACUCAGUUUCUCUAUCCCUAUUCCCUAAUGGGAAUAAUAAUGCUUACCUGUAUAAAGUGCUUUGAGAUCAUUGAAUAAAAGGUGCUGUGUAA
This is an RNA transcript of Chelonia mydas (Green sea turtle), 4717 nucleotides long. It is a transcript of the gene named SRY-box transcription factor 2, with no coding region annotated. The transcript is spliced from 5 exons. The record is from RefSeq and is a predicted model, not a curated record. NCBI's taxonomy places the organism in Eukaryota, Metazoa, Chordata, Testudines, Cheloniidae.